Small nucleolar RNA from Tachyglossus aculeatus (Australian echidna), 138 nucleotides. The record is from RefSeq and is a predicted model, not a curated record. NCBI's taxonomy places the organism in Eukaryota, Metazoa, Chordata, Mammalia, Monotremata, Tachyglossidae.
UCCCUCUCAGGGUCACACCUGGAGAGUUCCCAGUAUUCUACCAGUCUUGGCUAUGGGAGGGAGAGUCAAGCAGAGGCUGACCCACUCCAUUCUUAGCUUGGCCAGUGGCUAGGGAGUAGAAGGCAAUCUGCUACAAGU